GCCCAAGUGGUGGAAUGGUAGACGCCGUAGACUCAAAAUCUACUGCCCAAAAGGCGUGCAGGUUCAAGUCCUGUCUUGGGCA
RNAcentral lists this transfer RNA (82 nucleotides) under Mycoplasmopsis meleagridis. RNAcentral's name for it is "Mycoplasma meleagridis tRNA-Leu". It matches the Rfam family "tRNA". Rfam says of the family: Transfer RNA (tRNA) molecules are approximately 80 nucleotides in length. Their secondary structure includes four short double-helical elements and three loops (D, anti-codon, and T loops). The record is from RNAcentral. RNAcentral also lists the same sequence under 1 other name. Lineage: Bacteria; Bacillati; Mycoplasmatota; Mycoplasmoidales; Metamycoplasmataceae.